GGGCCUAUAGUAUAGUGGCAAUACAGGGCAUUCGCAUUGCUCAAACGGCAGUCCGAUUCUGCCUAGGUCCACCA
This 74-nucleotide transfer RNA is filed under the name Candidatus Berkelbacteria bacterium RIFCSPHIGHO2_12_FULL_36_9. RNAcentral describes it as "tRNA-Ala". It matches the Rfam family "tRNA". From Rfam's summary of the family: Transfer RNA (tRNA) molecules are approximately 80 nucleotides in length. Their secondary structure includes four short double-helical elements and three loops (D, anti-codon, and T loops). The record is from RNAcentral. Lineage: Bacteria; Candidatus Berkelbacteria.